Castor canadensis (American beaver) is the source of this 165-nucleotide unclassified non-coding RNA. The record is from Ensembl. NCBI's taxonomy places the organism in Eukaryota, Metazoa, Chordata, Mammalia, Rodentia, Castoridae.
AGGGCUGGACUGGCAGCCCUCAGCCUCUUCUGUUUACCUGCAGCACAGGUAGUGACAGUGCUAACGUCCCACACUGCCCCUGCCAUAUGCCUUGCUCUGACUUGGAGAGGCCACCUCUAGAGGGGAGGGAAGAGUUUGAACCCAUGUCUUCUCUCCUAAGAUUGC